RNAcentral lists this ribosomal RNA (801 nucleotides) under Dematiosporium bambusicola. RNAcentral's name for it is "Dematiosporium sp. XY-2023a partial large subunit ribosomal RNA". It matches the Rfam family "Eukaryotic large subunit ribosomal RNA", at positions 114 to 916 of the family's 3401-position model. Lineage: Eukaryota; Fungi; Ascomycota; Sordariomycetes; Savoryellales; Savoryellaceae. The record is from RNAcentral.
UUUGAAAUCUGGCCCUCCCGGCGGGGGGUCCGACUUGUAAUCUGCAGAUGGGCCUUCGGGUAAGGCGCGCGCGCCCAAGUUCCCUGGAACGGGACGCCGGAGAGGGUGAGAGCCCCGUACCGGCGCCGCGCCGAGCCGUCGCGAGGCCCAUUCGACGAGUCGAGUAGUUUGGAAAUGCUGCUCUAAUUGUGGGGUAAAUCUCCCAUAAGGCUAAAUACCGGCCAGAGACCGAUAGCGCACAAGUAGCGUGAGCGAAAGAUGAAAAGAGCCUUGAACAAGGGCGUCAAAAAGCAUGUGAAAUUGUUGUGGGGGAAGCGCUCGUCGCCAGACGUGGCGGCGGCUGUUUACCCGGCGCUCGUCGCCGGCGCACUCGGCCCGCCGCCAGGCCAGCACCGGCUCGCGCCCGGGGCCCAAUGCCGUGGGGAACGUAGCUCCCCCUCUCGGGGGGGAGUGUUACAGCCCCGCGGCGACGCCCUGGGCCGGGCCGAGGCACGCGCAUCUGCACGGAUGCUGGCUUAAUGGCGCCUAGCGACCCGUCUUGAAACACGGACCAAGGAGUUGACCUGGCGCGCGAGUGUUAGGGUGUCAAGCCCCGACGCGCAGUGAAAGCAAACGCCGGUGGGAGCCCCUCGCGGGCGCACCAUCGACCGAUCCCGAAGCUUCGCCGGACGGAUUCGAGUAGGAGCGUGCCGGGUCUGACCCGAAAGAAGGUGAACUAUGCAUGAGUAGGGCGAAGCCAGAGGAAACUCUGGUGGAGGCUCGCAGCGGUUCUGACGUGCAAAUCGAUCGUCGAACUUGUGC